UUGCACAUUGAACACCCAAGUGUGCUUUAUAGCCCUCUGAGCCUUGACUCUAUACUAAAGUCUGUUCUUUUCCUCUGCACUGAAAGAAAUACUGUCCUUUUUAGUGUAUCGGCAGGGAGGGGGACUG
RNAcentral lists this small nucleolar RNA (127 nucleotides) under Nannospalax galili (Upper Galilee mountains blind mole rat). RNAcentral describes it as "Small nucleolar RNA SNORA22 (ENSNGAG00000006950.1)". The record is from RNAcentral. Lineage: Eukaryota; Metazoa; Chordata; Mammalia; Rodentia; Spalacidae.